AGAGUUUGAUCCUGGCUCAGGAUUAACGCUGGCGGCGUGCAUGAGACAUGCAAGUCGAACGGACGAUCGGGCUUGCUCGAUCGUUAGUGGCGGACGGCUGAGUAACGCGUGGGUGACCUGCCCCGAAGUGGGGAAUAACUGCCCGAAAGGGUGGCUAAUACCGCAUGUGGUGACUGGUUCGUUCCAGUCUCCAAAGCCGCAAGGCGCUUCGGGAGGGGCCUGCGUCCGAUUAGCUCGUUGGUGGGGUAACGGCUCACCAGGGCGACGAUCGGUAGGUGGUCUGAGAGGACGAUCACCCAGACUGGGACUGAGACACGGCCCAGACUCCUACGGGAGGCAGCAGUCGGGAAUUUUGCUCAAUGGGCGAAAGCCUGAAGCAGCAACGCCGCGUGAGGGAUGACGGCCUUCGGGUUGUAAACCUCUUUUCUCAGGGACGAUAAUGGCGGUACCUGAGGAAUAAGCCACGGCUAACUACGUGCCAGCAGCCGCGGUAAUACGUAGGUGGCGAGCGUUAUCCGGAUUUACUGGGCGUAAAGAGCGCACAGGCGGUCGUGCAAGUCGGAUGUGAAAGCCCCCGGCUCAACUGGGGAAGGUCAUUCGAUACUGCUCGACUUGAAGGCGGGAGAGGGAAGCGGAAUUCCCGGUGUAGUGGUGAAAUGCGUA
This 663-nucleotide ribosomal RNA is filed under the name uncultured bacterium. Its description in RNAcentral is "bacterial SSU rRNA". It matches the Rfam family "Bacterial small subunit ribosomal RNA", at positions 8 to 692 of the family's 1533-position model. The record is from RNAcentral.